RNAcentral lists this long non-coding RNA (4799 nucleotides) under Triticum aestivum (bread wheat). RNAcentral describes it as "long non-coding RNA (TAES_LNC022981)". The record is from RNAcentral. Lineage: Eukaryota; Viridiplantae; Streptophyta; Magnoliopsida; Poales; Poaceae.
UCGUUCUUUCCCAACAUCAACCUCAGCCAGGAGCGAACGGUAUGCCUCCAGCAGAAAUCAUCUCUCUCCUUCAGAAUUUGUUGACUAAAUACUGUGCUUUGCAAUUUUCCCCUUCUGAAUUUGGGGUGAACCUCUUCCCUUUAGGUUUAAUGGUGUAUUAUUUGAGGUAGUUAGAUUACCCAAUUAAUGAAUGUGUGGAUGGAUGCAGAUACAUAUUCAGAAAAUACCAUCUCAGUGUAGUUAGCAUUUGAGAUUUUAGUUCCAUUUUUCUUGUUUUCAUGACACCAUAGAUGUGACACGUGAACCAUGUACAUUAUGUUUUUCAGGGUGCAUUCAUCCACAUACAUAUUGAGUUGGCAUCAAUCGAUGCAUUGUCUUAUUCACAUACUAGUAGUCGUAGAUUUUGUAGGCAAGCUCAUACUAGUAAAUGUGUGCUACGGAUUUGUAUUGAUUUGCAGACCUCUUUAAUGUCGAAUAAUUAGUGAAAUAUUUUGUCAAGUGGUGUAUGUUCCUUUGUCACAACGAAAGAAAAAAAAUCUUUUGAUGAACUGUGUUCACUAUAGUGCGAAGCAGUAUAAUUUUAAAUCUGAACAUAUUUUAGUUUGGUAUACUGUACAUGUUAAUUUGAUGGCCGGGGUAAACCUUUGAUUGAAUUGGUUCUUUUUCUGCAAUGCAGAUGGAUAGACAUUGGAUUCAUGGUACAUUGUUUUCCCGUGAGUACACUGAAGGUGUCAAAGAAUUUAUGAACUUCAUUCAAGAGAAAUUCAGCGAGGAUGAUAAAAUACUUUGCCCGUGUAGAGAAUGCCUUAAUCAUAAGUACCAGCAUCAGACCGUUGUGAACACGCACAUAUUGAUGUAUGGCAUGGAAAGUACAUAUACUCGUUGGAUAUAUCAUGGAGAAGACUUUGAUGCAGAUGUUAUUGAACAUCCUGUUGAUGUGCAUGACACCGAGGAUGGUGACAACGGCGCUGACCGAUUUGAAGAGAUGUUUGAAGACCUACGCACAGCAGUAGAACAAGCUCAGAGUGAAACUGAAAAUCAAGAUGCUAACAAUGGUGGAAACCCUUCUGAGAAUGAGUUUUUUUAAGGAUGUGAUGAAGGAGGCAAAAUGGCAGCUUUAUCAUGGUUGUACCAAGUUUUCAAGGUUCUCCUUUGUGGUAAAGCUUCUUCACUUGAAGUCAUACCAUAGGAUCCCGAAUAGUGCAUUUACUAAAAUUUUGAAGCUAUUAGCUGAAGCAUUCCCUGAACCCAAUACGCUCCCAAAAUCGUAUAAGGAAGCAAAGAACCUUCUAAAGGAAUUAGGCCUUGGGUAUGAGUCUAUACAUGUGUGCUUCAAUAAUUGCAUUCUGUUCAGAAAGCAAUAUGCCAAUCAUGACAAUUGCCCAGUUUGUGGCCUAUCAAGGUGGAAAGACCUUGCUAGAAAGAAGAUUCCACAGAAAGUGUUGAAGCAUUUUCCAUUGGUGCCUAGGCUAAAGAGGAUGUUUCUUUCCAAAAAAGGCGCAGAAGAAGCACAAUGGCAUGAGCUAAAGAGGCAGCCCAAUGAGAAGGAACUGAGUCAUCCAAAAGACGGUGAUGCGUGGAAAGAUUUCGAUGAAAAAUUUCCAGAAUUUGCAAAAGAUGCCAGAAACUUUAGGCUUGGCAUUGCCACUGAUGGGUUCAAUCCUUUUGGAAAUUUUAACACAACCUAUAGUAUGUGGCCUGUAUUUGUUAUACCAUACAACCUUCCACCUUGGGCAUGCAUGGAUCAGUCAAAUUUUAUGAUGGCUCUGCUGAUUCCAGGUCCCAAAUCACCUGGCAAGCACUUCGAUGUCUUUCUACAACCACUUGUGGAAGAAUUACUUGAGCUCUGGGAGGGUGUACGUACAUAUGAUGCUCUUAGUGGAAAAAUGUUUGAUCUUCAUGCUGCAGUUCUAUGGUGCAUUCACGAUUACCCAGCUCUGAGCACUCUUUCAGGGCGUACCACAAGAGGCUAUUUUGCAUGUAUUCAUUGUGACAAACACCCACUUUCUUACAGCCUAAGGAGUAAAAUUGGGUAUAUUGGUCACUAUCGUUUCCUUCCAAGGGGUCAUCGUUUGCGGAGAAACAAUGAAUUUGUUGGUCUUCAUGAAAGCAAUGAUGAGCCAGGUAAAUUCUCUGAGAAAGAGUUGCAAGCAGAAUUGGAGAAGGUUAGACCUGGGAGACAACAAGAAAGUAGAAAAAGGAAGCGUUCUGACUUGGGCAGCAAGAAGGAUCAUGUGCCAAUUUGGGGCCGGCGGGUUUGUUUGUGGGAUUUGAAGUAUUGGGUAAAGUUGAAGCUGAGACACAAUCUUGAUGUCAUGCAUAUUGAGAAAAACAUUUGUGAAAACCUCGUUGGGACAAUUCUGAAUCUAGAGGGUAAGACAAAGGACACACUUAAUGCUAGGAUUGAUCUCAAAGAUUUGAAUAUUAAAGAGGAGUUGCAAUUGAGGAAGGAGGGAGACUCAUAUGUGAUGCCUCGGGCCCGAUAUACCUUGUCCAAAGAACAAGUUGUUGCAUUUUGUCAAUUUUUACGAGAGUUAAAGUUUCCAGAUGGGUUUGCUUCCAACAUCUCAAGAUGCACAAGUGCUGAUGGAACCAAGGUACAAGGCCUGAAAACACAUGAUUGUCACAUUCUUCUGCAGAGAAUCUUACCUGCUGGCAUGAGAGGAUUUUUGGACAGUGAUAUAUAUGAAGCAAUAGCUGAGUUGGGCAAGUUUUUCAGAGAACUGUGCAGCAAAAUUCUUAAUAGGGAUGUCUUGGCCGAAAUGAAGAAGGAAAUCCCUGUAAUUUUGUGCAAGCUUGAGAAAAUUUUCCCGCCUGCAUUCUUUGAUGUGAUGGUGCACCUUGCCGUACAUUUACCUGAAGAGGCAUUGCUUUGAGGUCCCGUACAAUAUGGGUGGAUGUACCCAGUUGAAAGAAGGCUAUAUACUUUAAAGCGCUAUGUGAGGAAUAGGGCGCGACCAGAAGGUUCGAUUGCUGAGGCAUAUAUUGUAGAUGAAUGCCUGACAUUUUGCUCCAGGUACAUGGAUGAUGUUGAAACAAUAUUUAAUCGAAAACCAAGAAAUAUAGGUUAUUCAGAUAAAGAAGCCUAUGGUGUUGACGUUUUUGGGCAUGGAGUUAAUUUUACUUCAGGAUAUGACUAUGAAUAUGUGCAUGAGCAAAAAGAUUUUGACCAGAUGGUGUGGUAUGUGUUGAACAAUUGUGAUCAAGCUAAGAAAUAUAUCGAGUACGUUGUCACUUUUGAAACUUGUGCUUGUUGCAUUGUGUUGUACAUAUGUGAUCUCGAGACUAAUUUGUUUUAUUUUACAGUAUGUUCAGAGAUGAGUUAAAGAGAAAACGGUUGCCGGACAGUGAUAAAGAGCUUCAACAAAAAUUUCAGACAUGGUUCAGGAACUAUGUUAGUUUUCAUUCACAUCUAGUUAUAAUUUUUGGUUGUCAAAUUUCACUGCAGAUUCUAAUGUAUGUGUUUGUGUGCUGUUGCAGAUGAUGAGGCUGCGAGAUGAGGUUGGCGAAGAGGUAGAUGAAGAUCUAUUUUCCUUGGCAUGUGGUCCUGAUCGGAGAGUCUGGAAAUUCUCAUCGUGCAUAGUGAAUGGGAUUAGAUUUAGCACUGUUGCUCGUGAUAGCAACAAGAGGACGCAGAACAGUGGAGUCAUGACCGAAGGUGAACAUGACCGUAAGGUCAUAGAUUUUUAUGGAACCUUGAAAGAGAUCAUUCAGUUAGAUUAUAACUUGAAAGAUAGGUCAGUUGUUUUGUUUAAAUGUGACUGGUUUAAACUUGAUGGAAAGAAGACUGAACUUAAAAAUGAUGGUUUUUUCAAGAGCAUACAUGUUGGAAGUUUGUGGUACAAGGACGAUUCUUUGAUUCUGGCUACUCAGGCUAGUAAGGUCUUUUAUUUGCCGGACACGAAGUAUGGGAAAAAUUGGCAAGUUGUGCAAACAUUCGACCAUAGGCAUCUGUUCAAUAUUAGUGAAACUGAGGGUGUACCUUUUAGUGGUCCUGCAUAUCAAGAGGAGGAGUGUUGUGAAGAGGAGGAUAGGAGAACAUCAGUUUCUGACCAUACAUCUGAGAAGCCUUUGCAUAGAGAUGAUGAGCAAGGAAUUACUUUUGAAGCUGAUGUCGUUGCUCGUUUGAUGAAAGAAAAAUCCACAAAAGUGUAUGAAGGUGGUGACGAAGAUGAAGAAGAUGACACAGGUUUGGAGUAUUGCAGUGAAGACGAAGGAGGUGCCACAAUGGAUGUCGACAGCGAUGACAAGUAGAUGUUUUAGUGUAGAAGGUACUAUCUUCAUUCUUGUUGCAUAAUUUUUUCCUUUGCUACUGCAAUAUCCUGUUGCUGUUUACACACUACAUGCUUGUUCAGUAUAGUACAUGGGAGACUGAGGUGUUUAUGCACCACAAGUUUGUUCAGUUCAGUACAUCAUCUCUUUUUUGCAUAUGUACAGUUUGAAUGCACUUCUAAAUUUGAAAUAUUCGACAGGCGUUGCUGACAAGGCUGAGAAGGAGAUGCUGAAAAAAGGUUGUGCUGCAAGCUUAAGUUGGUCUGUACAGUGCUUUUGGCUCCUGUCAUCUACAAUGGUAGUAUCUGGAGUUUUAUUUUGUUUGCCUUGAUACGGCAAUGACCGGUGAUUCUUCUUGUGAUCCGUAACAGAGUUGUAUCUGGAGUUAUAUUUUGUUUGCCUUGAUAGGCCAAUGACCGCUGAUCCUUGUUGUGACCCGUAUCAGAGUUGUAUUUGGAGUUAUAUUUUGUUUGCCUUGAUUGGCCAAUGACCGCUGAUCCUUGUUGUGAUCCGUAUCAGAGUUAUAG